CCGGCGCCGAUCUCAUCCGCGCUAAUUUUCACAAAGCACCGUUCAAAACCUAGCGAUAAUUUAGGGAUUUGAGGAUCAACUUUUCAGUCUCACUGUAUGAAAGUUCGGAUAUAAUUCAGCCAAAUGAGUAUCGAGUCAUUCAAUAGGUUGGUGAAACUUGCGGCAAGAGCUUUCUAUGACGACAUUACAACUAAAGGCGACAACCAGCCCAAGUCCGGUAGAAGUGAUAAUAGAGGAAUUGCAGUGGUGAUUCUUGACGCACUCACAAGGAGGCAAUGGGUGAGGGAAGAAGACUUGGCAAAGGACUUGAAGUUGCACACGAAACAAUUACGCCGCACCUUGCGGUUCUUUGAAGAAGAAAAGCUCAUCACACGGGACCAUAGGAAGGAGGGAGCAAAGGGUGCUAAAGUAUACAAUUCUGCAGUUGCAGCUACUGUUGAUGGUCUGCAGAAUGGGAAAGAAGGAGAUGACAAAAUAAAGAUGCAUACUCAUUCUUAUUGCUGCCUGGACUAUGCACAGAUAUAUGAUGUCGUGAGGUACAGACUGCACCGAAUGAAGAAAAAGUUAAGAGAUGAGCUGGAUAACAAAAACACAGUGCAGGAGUAUAUUUGUCCCAACUGUGCGAAAAGAUAUACUGCGCUGGAUGCGUUGCGGCUGGUCUCUACUGAGGAUGAGUACUUCCACUGUGAGAGUUGCAAUGG
Molecule: unclassified non-coding RNA, 701 nt
Filed under: Hevea brasiliensis (rubber tree)
Lineage: Eukaryota; Viridiplantae; Streptophyta; Magnoliopsida; Malpighiales; Euphorbiaceae
Source: RNAcentral